AUGGAAAAGAAGUGGCCUACUAGAAGAAUUAAUUUAAAGCAUUUACACCAAAAUAAAAACAAAUUGAAUAUUGGAAUUGGUCCUUCAUGAUAGCUUCCCCUUAACAACUAACUCUAACUAUAAAUACUGAAUCUUGCAUGCAACAUUUCAUAGUAAACACUAAGACCAAAACCUCUUCUUUCUAUCCAUGACUGCUAGGGCUAGUUGCCCCAAAAUGGGGCAUUUUUGGCCACAAAUGGCAAUGGCAUUGGCCAUUGUUUUGAUUUCUACUACUAUGGUUUCUGCUUCUGAUAGCUACAUUUACUCUUCGCCUCCACCACCUUAUGAGUACAAGUCCCCACCACCGCCGUCUCCCUCACCACCUCCUCCUUAUGUGUAUAAGUCACCACCUCCCCCAUCCUCGUCACCCCCACCACCAUAUGAGCACAAGGCUCCAUCUUAUGAGUACAAGUCACCACCACCACCAACUUCUUCACCACCACCUCCUUAUGUAUACAAGUCACCACCACCACCAUCUCCUUCACCGUCACCUCCUUAUGUGUACAAGUCACCACCACCUCCAUCCCCAUCACCCCCACCUCCUUACGUGUACAAGUCACCACCACCACCCUCGCCUUCCCCGCCCCCACCAUACUAUUACAAGUCUCCUCCACCACCCUCGCCUUCCCCACCGCCACCAUACUAUUACAAGAGUCCUCCACCACCCUCUCCUUCACCUCCACCUCCUUACUACUAUAAAUCGCCUCCACCACCCUCACCUUCCCCUCCCCCACCAUACUAUUACAAGUCUCCUCCACCACCAUCUCCCUCACCACCUCCUCCAUAUUACUACAAGUCUCCCACACCACCUUCACCCUCCUCUCCACCCCCAUAUAUACACAAGGAUCCACCAUACUAUUACAAGUCCCCACCACCCCCUUCACCAUCUCCUCCACCACCAUACUACUAUAAAUCUCCCCCACCACCCUCACCCUCUCCACCCCCACCUUACUAUUACAAGUCUCCUCCACCACCUUCACCAUCUCCUCCACCACCAUACUAUUACAAAUCUCCUCCUCCU
RNAcentral lists this long non-coding RNA (1060 nucleotides) under Medicago truncatula (barrel medic). RNAcentral's name for it is "lncRNA gene1615". Lineage: Eukaryota; Viridiplantae; Streptophyta; Magnoliopsida; Fabales; Fabaceae. The record is from RNAcentral.